Molecule: transfer RNA, 89 nt
Filed under: Felis catus (domestic cat)
Lineage: Eukaryota; Metazoa; Chordata; Mammalia; Carnivora; Felidae
Rfam family: tRNA
About the family: Transfer RNA (tRNA) molecules are approximately 80 nucleotides in length. Their secondary structure includes four short double-helical elements and three loops (D, anti-codon, and T loops).
Source: Rfam by way of RNAcentral
GCCUGGAUGGCUCAGUUGGUUAAGCAUCUGACUUCAGCUCAGGUCACGCAUGAUCUCAUGGUUUGUGGGUUCGAGCCCCACGUUGGGCU